AACACCAGUGAUGAACUGAGUACUGCCCCAAUCUGAUCAUGUGACAGGAAGGUAUUCUCAGAGUUGUG
This is a small nucleolar RNA of Sciurus vulgaris (Eurasian red squirrel), 68 nucleotides long. The record is from Ensembl. NCBI's taxonomy places the organism in Eukaryota, Metazoa, Chordata, Mammalia, Rodentia, Sciuridae.